Molecule: ribosomal RNA, 231 nt
Filed under: uncultured Glomus
Lineage: Eukaryota; Fungi; Glomeromycota; Glomeromycetes; Glomerales; Glomeraceae
Description: partial 18S ribosomal RNA
Rfam family: Eukaryotic small subunit ribosomal RNA
Source: RNAcentral
AGCAGCCGCGGUAAUUCCAGCUCCAAUAGCGUAUAUUAAAGUUGUUGCAGUUAAAAAGCUCGUAGUUGAAUUUCGGGAUUGGCGCAUCGGUCGUGCCUCACGGGGUAUGAACUGGUGCAGUCAAUUUCUCACCUUCUGGAGAACCGCGAUGUCCUUAAUUGGAUGCCGUGGGAACCAGGACCUUUUACUUUAGAAAAAAUUAGAGUUGUUUAAAGCAGGCUAUUUUUGCUU